CGUCAGAAAACAAACGCCAUUGUAACAGUCUGCAUCUUCUCCUGCACUUCAACAACAUCAGCGAAGGAGACUGAAACAAUUCUUUUACAACCAAAAGAGGAAAAUAGAGUUGUUAAGAAAGACACGAAAACAGCCUGUGGUUUUCUCGAAUUGUCUUCAUUUAUCUGCGAAAACACACUGAGCAGGUAAAAUGGGCCGGAUCUUCUUGGAUCACAUUGGUGGGACUCGCCUCUUCUCCUGCGCUAACUGUGACACCAUCCUGACCAACCGAGCUGAACUGAUCUCCACACGCUUCACAGGAGCCACAGGCCGAGCCUUCCUCUUCAAUAAGGUGGUGAAUUUACAACACAGCGAGGUGCAGGACAGAGUCAUGCUGACCGGGAGACACAUGGUGCGAGACGUCAGCUGCAAAAACUGCAAUAGUAAGCUCGGCUGGAUGUACGAGUUCGCCACGGAGGAAAGUCAGCGCUACAAGGAAGGCCGUGUCAUCCUAGAGAGGGCGCUGGUGAGGGAGAGCGAAGGCUUUGAGCAUGUUCCCUCCGACAGUUCCUGAGCUCAGUCUGGUUAAUACUACAAUGUUCAAUCCCUGCUUUUCUUCCAGCAGCAGUGCAUGGGCUUGCAUGGACAGUGUGCCAUUUGUGAGUAGUACUACGCCACUAUAAUAUCACAGGCUGUGGGAAGUUCAAACAAGAAGUAGUGGAUUUUCCCAUUAGUUUAAACAUCUGGGAAUGUCUCGUAAACAGGACAACACAUUGCUUCUGUACCCCUUUAUGAUCUCCUGCAUUAUCAGCAUGUGCAUAACAGGCUGUGAUGUCGGUAAAAUGUGUCAGAGGCAGCUGACGGAGGCAGAGGAUUCACUCCUGCUGUCGUAUAAGAAUCUCAGUCAGAAAGGUAGUGAUGUCAGGAUCAGAUUAAAUAUUAGCGGGUUGACUCAGAACAGAUGAGUGGGUCAUUGAUGAUGGCUGAGUCUGAUUAAGUUGAGAGAGAGAGAGAGAGAGAGAGAGAGACGUAUUCUGCAAAACAUUCCUCUUCUAGCUAGUGUUAAUGUGAUGCUAUGCUAGAACAUCUUUAUUUUAAAUACAUAUUAAAUUACAUGUAAAUAAUAAUAGUUGUGCGAGUAUAUUUACUAAUAAAAUAGCAUUAGAAAUAUCAACACUUUUUAAAGGGGCAAUUUGUAAGAUUAACUUUCAAAAAUGAACCAUAUUAAAAUUAUCAGAGGGUAGCAGAUGUUUGCCAAAAUGAUAUGGUGUCGAGUCUGUCCCAAAUGUCUUAUGUCUAGCAAAACUAUGGGCUGUUUCACACCUGCUUGUUUGUUUUGGACAUUGAAAAUUCUGUGAUUGAUCCAAACCAAAUUUGUUGACAUGAAGCCUCUCUUAGACCAUAUCACGGACCAAACAGUUGCCCUUUGGACCAGAGGUUCUUGGACCCGAUCAAACUGAACUAUGGGUUGAUUUGAUUGAUUGGCUUGAUAUGAUUUGGAUUUUCAAACCAAUUACAGGAUGUUACAUAAGGCAACCACCGCCCAAAAAACAAGUUUGACUUGUUAACCGAAUUAACAACAUGCCAGUGUCACACAGGUUAACAAUGUGAUUAUGUAAUUUCUUUUAUUAAUGCUAAACUGAUAACCACUUCAUGCCUAGUCUAUCCAAUCAGGAUUUGGAAAGACCUCAUGUUUGUAGGGGACGAGGAUUAGCAUCAAGAUGUCUAGGAAGAUGUGGGGGAGCAUUAAGACCUGAACUUGAUACUGUCCCAUUUUAUGCUUUAUGCUUGAGCUACAUCAUUACAUCACUGUAUUUGUUUGAAGAUGAUGGAAAGAGAUAAGCCAAGGCUAACCAAUGAGUGGGCUAACUACAGUAGAUAUGUCAGCAACACAACAUUUUGAUGUCUUAAAAUAACAUCACACUUUUUAUUUAUUCACACACUGAUGAUUUGAAAUUGUUAAAAUUGAUCAUUUUGUUGAACGGUUUGAACAAAAAAA
Molecule: RNA transcript, 1978 nt
Organism: Sphaeramia orbicularis (orbiculate cardinalfish)
Lineage: Eukaryota; Metazoa; Chordata; Actinopteri; Kurtiformes; Apogonidae
Gene name: protein yippee-like 5
Exons: 4
Source: RefSeq, a predicted model, not a curated record